CGGUGACAGGUGGUGCAUGGUUGUCGUCAGCUCGUGUCGUGAGAUGUGGUUAAGUCCCGCAACGAGCGCAGCCCCUAUUGUUAGUUGCCAUCAUUCAGUUGGGCACUCUAGCGAGACUGCCGGUAAUAAACCGGAGGAAGGUGGGGAUGACGUCAAAUCAUCAUGCCCCUUAUGACCUGGGCUACACACGUGCUACAAUGGUUGGUACAACGAGUUGCGAGUCGGUGACGGCGAGCUAAUCUCUUAAAGCCAAUCUCAGUUCGGAUUGUAGGCUGCAACUCGCCUACAUGAAGUCGGAAUCGCUAGUAAUCGCGGAUCAGCACGCCGCGGUGAAUACGUUCCCGGGCCUU
Molecule: ribosomal RNA, 350 nt
Filed under: uncultured Streptococcus sp.
Lineage: Bacteria; Bacillati; Bacillota; Bacilli; Lactobacillales; Streptococcaceae
Description: bacterial SSU rRNA
Rfam family: Bacterial small subunit ribosomal RNA
Source: RNAcentral